AUGCAGUCGUAGAAGUGGGUUCAUCGGUUAUGGUCACAGCAGCUGGCGGCGGAUCGCCGGCCUUCCGUUGAUCCCUAAAGAACAUGACCCACGCGCUCUUAUGGAUCUCUAUUCCAUCACAUAGGCCAUACACCUGGGCAAAUCCGAAAUAGGCAGCAACAGCGGCGACACCGAAGAGAGGUACCAUUAUGACUAGUCCUCCCAGGCAGGCGAAGAACACCAUGGACACAAUGGUCAGGAGUGUGCCUAAAACGAGUCGAUAAGAACGUGAUCUCUGGUAAACACUACGGAACGCACCUUCUAGCACCAGCAAACCUGUAAAGGUCAUAACCAUGGUGGCUAUUCCAAACCCAAAUAUUAUAAGGAAGGGCAGCAUGAAUACAAGACCACCAGCU
This is a non-coding RNA of Drosophila melanogaster (fruit fly), 395 nucleotides long. The record is from Ensembl. NCBI's taxonomy places the organism in Eukaryota, Metazoa, Arthropoda, Insecta, Diptera, Drosophilidae.